Molecule: small RNA, 2490 nt
Filed under: Pongo abelii (Sumatran orangutan)
Lineage: Eukaryota; Metazoa; Chordata; Mammalia; Primates; Hominidae
Description: retained intron
Source: RNAcentral
GGAAGUGGUCCUACCUUAGCGGUCAGCGCGGGGUCUCCCGGGGCCCUGCAGGGCGGGCAGGCUGUGCUAUCCCGCAGCCAGACGUCGGGAUGGUGCAGCUGUACAACCUGCACCCGUUCGGGUCGCAGCAGGUGGUGCCCUGCAAGCUGGAGCCGGACCGGUUCUGCGGCGGGGGGCGUGACGCGCUUUUCGUGGCGGCGGGCUGCAAGGUGGAGGCGUUCGCGGUGGCCGGCCAGGAGCUGUGCCAGCCACGGUGCGCCUUCUCCACGCUGGGCCGGGUGUUGCGCCUGGCCUACAGCGAGGCUGGUGAGUAAUCUGGAGAGCCAGGGGCCGCCUGGGGCCCAGCUUGAGGCUUCCUAGCUAGCGGACCGAGCGUCUGGGCUGCAGCUCUAGCUGGGGAGGGGACUUCUUGCUUCCCGGAAUUUGCCAGAUGGUUUCCCUGGGUCUGGCCGCUGAUUGCUUGAAGUCGCAUUGAGCUAUGCGGUUGUCGGGGCAAGCAUAGGUAUGAGCUUGCUUCUGUCGGAGCGGAGGACGCUGACAUCUCUUCGUCUUGGUUUUCUUCAGAAAGGCCUCUGGCUGGAUUCCACUCAUCUCGGAUACUUAAGCAAACAAUAACAAAAAACUCUUCAGUGCAUCAGAUUUCACAGACUUACCAAAAAAACAAGUAGGAAUAAGGAGACUAGUACUGUAUCCUGGAACCUCCAAGUACUCCCAGCUUUAACAAUCAUUCCACCUCUUGGCAGUUCUUUCACAUCUGUACCUCCAUCCACUUCCGGUCGGUUUUUGAAAGCUCACAUUAUGUGUUGAUUUUUAAAUGUGUGAGAUUAUUUGGUAGCAAUUGAAGAGAAAAACAAAGCUACAUUUCUACGUGCUUAUGUGAACUGGAGAAAUAAAAGGACUGAAAACUCUCGUGUGUGUAUCCGAAUGAUUGGGCAUAAUGUGGAGGCACCCUUCAGCAAAACCUUCAGAGACCAGAUGUACAUUAUUGAAAUGCCGCUUUCAGAGGCCCCCUUGUGCAUUUCCUGUUGCCCUGUGAAAGGAGACCUUCUCGUUGGCUGCACAAAUAAAUUAGUCUUAUUUAGUUUGAAGUACCAGAUCAUUAAUGAGGAAUUCUCACUAUUGGACUUUGAACGUUCUUUAAUUAUACACAUAGAUAAUAUCACUCCUGUUGAGAUUUCUUUUUGUGUUGGAUAUGUUGCUGUCAUGUCAGACUUAGAAGUCUUAAUCGUAAAACUGGAGUCAGGCCCUAAAAAUGGAGAGAGAGUUCACCACCAUCCACAUAAGACCAACAAUCGAAUGAGACGGACAGAAGAAGGCAUCAGUAAUGAAAUUUCACAGCUUGAGUCCGAUGAUUUUGUCAUCUGCCAGAAGCCCCUGGAACUUCUUGGUGAAAAAAGUGAACAGUCUGGAUUAUCUGUUACACUGGAGUCUACGGGAUUAGCUGAUGAAAAAAGAAAAUAUUCCCACUUUCAGCACCUGCUCUAUAGACGUUUUGCUCCUGAUAUUUCGUCCUAUGUCUUGUCUGAUGACAUCAAGCUACAUUCCCUCCAACUGCUGCCCAUUUACCAGACUGGUUCUCUUACGUCUGAUGGAAAAAAUUUGUCUCAGGAAAAAGAAUUGCUGAGUCUCUUUUGCUUUUUCUCCUUACCUCAUGUGGGCUAUCUCUACAUGGUUGUCAAAUCUGUUGAAUUGAUGUCAGUCUACCAGUAUCCUGAGAAGUCUCAGCAGGCAGUACUCACGCCACAAUUUUUGCACGUCAUUACAAGUAACAACCUGCAGUGUUUCACUGUGCGGUGCAGUGCAGCGGCAGCUCGUGAGGAGGACCCGUACAUGGACACCACCCUGAAGGCUUGCCCACCUGUUAGUAUGGAUGUCUGUGCUUUAAGAAUACAGCUUUUCAUAGGCUUGAAAGCCAUCUGUCACUUUAAAAACCACAUCAUACUUUUGACUAAAGCAGAACCUGAGGCCAUUCCAGAGAGAAGACAGUCACCCAAGAGGCUUCUGUAAGCAUCCGCUUGCCCCAGGCAUUCCUGCCAGUUUCUGGAAUGAGUUGUAACUGGUAUAUUUUGUGUUUAUCUUUUUUCAAAUCAUAACUUAGAAUGAUCAAAUGGCUUUUUUAUGGUGGUCUUUUUCCAGAGAAAGAAAAGAAGUUUCUAACAAUCUCUGUAAUACACUUUAUAACUGACCUGGGAACUUUUAGGAGAAAAUGGAUUAUAAAAUAGUUUCAGUAAAAAUCAAAGGUGUUUUAGAUUAGUUAAAGGACAUGCUUUUCUGUGUAAUUAAUGGGAAAGACUGAGCCUAUAAUGCUAAUUGAAACUACAGGACUUUUUACUGUCUUUCUUCUUUGACCCUUUCAGUAGUUACAUUUUUAUCUAAAAUUAUUUUCUGAUAUUAUGAAAGAAAUUAAUAAUGUAUGUCUUACCUUAAAGCACAUUUAUGAUCUAUAGACAUGUGCUGAUCUAUCUGAAAAUAAAGUUGUACUUUGAUAAC